UUGACCUCGGAUCAGGUAGGGAUACCCGCUGAACUUAAGCAUAUCAAUAAGCGGAGGAAAAGAAACCAACAGGGAUUGCCUCAGUAACGGCGAGUGAAGCGGCAACAGCUCAAAUUUGAAAUCUGGCUCUCGGGUCCGAAUUGUAAUUUGUAGAAGAUGCUUCGAGUGUUAGCCUGGUCUAAGUUCCUUGGAACAGGACGUCAUAGAGGGUGAGAAUCCUGUAUGUGACUAGUGCUCUCGCUCAUGUGAAGCUCUUUCGACGAGUCGAGUUGUUUGGGAAUGCAGCUCAAAAUGGGCGGUAAAUUUCAUCUAAAGCUAAAUAUUGGCCAGAGACCGAUAGCGCACAAGUAGAGUGAUCGAAAGAUGAAAAGCACUUUGGAAAGAGAGUUAAACAGUACGUGAAAUUGUUGAAAGGGAAGCGCUUGCAACUAGACUUGCAUGCCGUCGAUCAUCCGAGGUUUUCCCCGGUGCACUCGGCGGUGUUCAGGCCAGCAUCGGUUUGGGUGGUUGGAUAAAGGCCUUGGGAAUGUAGCUUCUUUCGGGGAGUGUUAUAGCCCUCGGUGCAAUGCAGCCUACCCGGACCGAGGACCGCGCUUCGGCUAGGAUGCUGGCGUAAUGGUUGUAAGCGACCCGUCUUGAAACACGGACCAAGGAGUCUAACAUCUAUGCGAGUGUUUGGGUGUCAAACCCAUACGCGUAAUAAAAGUGAACGGAGGUGAGAACCCUUAAGGGUGCAUCAUCGACCGAUCCUGAUGUCUUCGGAUGGAUUUGAGUAAGAGCAUAGCUGUUGGGACCCGAAAGAUGGUGAACUAUGCCUGAAUAGGGUGAAGCCAGAGGAAACUCUGGUGGAGGCUCGCAGCGGUUCUGACGUGCAAAUCGAUCGUCAAAUUUGGGUAUAGGGGCGAAAGACUAAUCGAACCCAGUG
Molecule: ribosomal RNA, 925 nt
Filed under: Haplographium catenatum
Lineage: Eukaryota; Fungi; Ascomycota; Leotiomycetes; Helotiales; Hyaloscyphaceae
Description: eukaryotic LSU rRNA
Rfam family: Eukaryotic large subunit ribosomal RNA
Source: RNAcentral